This 73-nucleotide transfer RNA is filed under the name Pteropus alecto (black flying fox). It matches the Rfam family "tRNA". Rfam says of the family: Transfer RNA (tRNA) molecules are approximately 80 nucleotides in length. The record is from Rfam by way of RNAcentral. Lineage: Eukaryota; Metazoa; Chordata; Mammalia; Chiroptera; Pteropodidae. RNAcentral also lists the same sequence under 1 other name.
GGUUCUAUAGUGUAGCGGUUAGCACGUCUGCUUUAUAUGCAGAAGAUCCUGGGUUUGCACCACAGUGGAACCA